GAUGAACGCUGGCGGCGUGCCUAACACAUGCAAGUCGAGCGAAGCACCUUACUUGAUUUCUUCGGGAUGAAAGUAUUGUGACUGAGCGGCGAACGGGUGAGUAACGCGUGAGAAACCUGCCUUUCAGUGGGGGACAACAGUUGGAAACGACUGCUAAUACCGCAUAAUGUCAUUUGGGGGCAUCCCUGGAUGACCAAAGAUUUAUUGCUGAAAGAUGGUCUCGCGUCUGAUUAGCUGGUUGGCGGGGUAACGGCCCACCAAGGCGACGAUCAGUAGCCGGUCUGAGAGGAUGAACGGCCACAUUGGGACUGAGAUACGGCCCAG
Molecule: ribosomal RNA, 324 nt
Filed under: uncultured bacterium
Lineage: Bacteria
Description: bacterial SSU rRNA
Rfam family: Bacterial small subunit ribosomal RNA
Source: RNAcentral